GCCGGACCGCCGCCGCCGCCGCCGUGCACGGUGGCCGAAAAAUUUAACCUUCACCAAAAUUGACAAACAAUACAUCAUUUCAUUCGUUUCGAUGAGAGGAUCACUAAUAUGUGUUCAAAUCAAGGUGGGUGUGAACCAGUUGGCCGAAAAUUGGCCGGAAAUGUUCGAUGGUACCCACUUUGGGUUUUCCGAUUCCGGCCACCAUACUCAACACCGUAACAGUCAAAUGAAAGAAGGAGAAGAGAGGAGUCGAUCGGCACCUACCUUGAAGUCUCAGGUCGCCGGAAACGGCGUGAAUGGCUGAAAGAAUUGCUACUAUGGCGUCGCACCUUUCGAUUGAAUUUUCUCUCAAUCCGGGCUCAAAUCGCGCAAACCAAGGCUUGAAUCAGACUCCUUGCGAUGAGUAGAUAUUUUUAGAGUAUUUAUUUGCCGGAUUUGGUGGCCGGUGGUCGGAGAACGAGAAGAAAAGGGGAGGGGGGUUGUUGAGAGAGAAGAGCGAGAGAGAGACCACUGAAUCUCUCUUCUCGUUUCUCUUUUCUUUUUUUUUUUCUUUUUUUUUUUUCUAGAAUUUUCUAAUUGGUGGAUGGGGUUUGGGUCGAUUCGAGUCUGAUUUGGUUUAAAUCGUGGUUUUAGCUUGGUUUUUCAAUUGGUUUAUGGAUUUUUCAUCUGGUUUUCGAAAAAUUAAUUUGAUUUUUGGGUCCGGUUCAAUUUAUUUGAUUAUUUUGUUCAGUUUAGUAAUAUUUUCUCAAUUUAUUCAUAAAAUAUUAAUACCAAAGAUAUUUAAUUUUAGGCUGAUUAAUUUAUAUAGUAG
RNAcentral lists this long non-coding RNA (811 nucleotides) under Jatropha curcas. RNAcentral's name for it is "long non-coding RNA (JCUR_LNC003081)". Lineage: Eukaryota; Viridiplantae; Streptophyta; Magnoliopsida; Malpighiales; Euphorbiaceae. The record is from RNAcentral.